This 1611-nucleotide ribosomal RNA is filed under the name human gut metagenome. RNAcentral describes it as "bacterial LSU rRNA". It matches the Rfam family "Bacterial large subunit ribosomal RNA", at positions 376 to 1996 of the family's 2925-position model. The record is from RNAcentral.
UAUUCGAAUGUUGUCGAAGCAUAGUAGUAUCCUGAGUAGCGCGGAGCACGAGGAAUUCUGCGUGAAUCUGCCGGGACCAUCCGGUAAGGCUAAAUACUCCCGAGAGACCGAUAGCGAACCAGUACCGUGAGGGAAAGGUGAAAAGAACCCCGAGCAGGGGAGUGAAAUAGACCCUGAACCCGUCUGCCUACAAGCGGUCGGAGCAUCGUCAAGAUGUGACGGCGUGCCUUUUGCAUAAUGAACCUACGAGUUACCUUCCCCGGCAAGGUUAAGUACCUAAGGUACGGAGCCGAAGCGAAAGCGAGUCUGAAGAGGGCGGCCAGUCGGGGGGGGUAGACGCGAAACCGAGUGAUCUACCCUUGGCCAGGUUGAAGGUUGGGUAACACCAACUGGAGGACCGGAUGGGUAAGCGUUGAAAAGCUUUCCAAUGAGCUGAGGGUAGGGGUGAAAGGCUAAUCAAACUCGGAGAUAGCUCGUACUCCCCGAAAUGCAUUUAGGUGCAGCCUCUUUAUAGUAUAUCGUGAGGUAGAGCGACUGAUUGGAUGCGAGGGCUUCACCGCCUAUCAAGUCCAGAUAAACUCCGAAUGCGCGAUAUAUAUUUAAAGGGAGUGAGGGCGCGGGUGCUAAGGUCCGUGUCCGAGAGGAGAAGAAUCCAGACCACCGGCUAAGGCCCCCAAAUGAUCGUUGAGUUGAACUAACGAGGUCGGAUCGCAGAGACAGCUAGGAUGUUGGCUUGGAAGCAGCCAUUCAUUUAAAGAGUGCGUAACAGCUCACUAGUCGAGCGAUCUGGCGUGGAUAAUAAUCGGGCAUAAACGAUCUGCCGAAGCCGUGGAUGUCGCAAGACAUGGUAGGGGAGCAUUCCAUGCGGCGUCGAAGAUGAGGGAUGACCCUUGUUGGAGCGCAUGGAAAAGCAAAUGUAGGUAUGAGUAACGAUAAGGGGGGCGAGAAACCCCCCCGCCGAAAGACCAAGGUUUCCUGAUCAACGCUAAUCGGAUCAGGGUGAGUCGGGACCUAAGGCUAAGCCGAACGGCGACGCCGAUGGAAGAAUGGGUUAAUAUUCCCAUACUGCCUCAUGGAGUGACGUGGAGACGGAGAAGUGACAGUCCUGCCGGCUGACGGAAUAGCCGGUUGAAGGGUGUAGAUAUUGAUUCCCGUAGGCAAAUCCGCGGGGAGAGUCGAACCUGACAGUAUACCGAGUACUUGUACGAGGUAAUAUGGACGUAACCAUGCUCCCAAGAAAAUCCGCUAAACUUAUCCAUGCGGCACCCGUACCGUAAACGGACACACGUGGUCGGGUUGAGAAUACUGAGGCGCUCGAGUGACUCACGGUUAAGGAACUAGGCAAAUUGACCCUGUAACUUCGGGAUAAAGGGUCCUCGUCGUAAGGCGAGGCGCAGAGAAUAGGUCCAGGCAACUGUUUAACAAAAACACAUGGCUGUGCUAAAUGGAAACAUGACGUAUACAGCCUGACACCUGCCCGGUGCUGGAAGGUUAAGAGGAGAUGUCAUCGCGAGAGAAGCGUUGAAUUGAAGCCCCAGUAAACGGCGGCCGUAACUAUAACGGUCCUAAGGUAGCGAAAUUCCUUGUCGGGUAAGUUCCGACCUGCACGAA